AAAGUGAGAACAUUUGCACGCUGACCUGAACAAAUGUGUAGAAAAUGCCUUGCGUUGAGAGGUAUUACGGAUAAGUUUGGUUUGUGAAAUGUCAGUGUGGGUGGAUGUGAGAUGAUUGAAAGGAGUUCAAUAUUGACAAAAAACUAGGAAGACCGUCAGCAAUCUAAGACAGCACCUACCCCUAGAAGACACACCUUUGUGAAGCCUGCAUGAAAUAAACAACAGCGAUAUCAUCAUCAGUAAGGAGAAAGCUUCUCCUGAAAAGGCCCUGGAGAAUGCUGCUGUGGAUGGCAACGAGUGUGACUCAUCUGGCUAUAGAGCUGGAAGUGUAAUAUUAAAGAAAAUAAAUAACAAGACUGAAAAGAGCAUUAAAUGAGGAAAUGAGGCAUGAAUGCGUGAGACAGAGGUUAUUCUACUACAUGCAAGUAGAUACCACCUAAUUACUUGGGAAGUAGCAGUUAGUAAGUACAAGAUCAUGAAUGAAUUAGAA
This is a long non-coding RNA of Pezoporus flaviventris, 490 nucleotides long. RefSeq lists it as uncharacterized. NCBI's taxonomy places the organism in Eukaryota, Metazoa, Chordata, Aves, Psittaciformes, Psittacidae. The record is from RefSeq and is a predicted model, not a curated record. The transcript has 3 exons.